AACGCAUAUUGCGCUCUCUGGUAUUCCGGAGAGCAUGCUUGUUUGAGUAUCAGUAAACACCUCAGAUCCCAAGAUUUGUUUCUUGGGGUUUGGAUUUGAGUAAUCCUAACGAGAAGGCAUUCGCCAACUUGGCAGGUCACUUGAAAUGCAGGUGCAGCUGAACAUUCUUCUGAGCUAAAAGCAUAUUUAUUUAGUCCUGUUGACUCUUUAUGAGUUUGCGGAUUAUUACUUUUGCUGCAGCUAACAUAAAGGUUGAAUGAUUUCAAAUGCUGACUGAUGCAGGAAUUUAUCAGUUUAUAUAAAACUGUUAAACUCGAUCUCAAAUCAAGUAAGACUACCCGCUGAACUUAA
Molecule: unclassified non-coding RNA, 351 nt
Filed under: uncultured Mortierella
Lineage: Eukaryota; Fungi; Mortierellomycota; Mortierellomycetes; Mortierellales; Mortierellaceae
Description: sequence contains ITS2
Rfam family: 5.8S ribosomal RNA (bases 1-52)
Source: RNAcentral